This 3195-nucleotide unclassified non-coding RNA is filed under the name Hevea brasiliensis (rubber tree). Lineage: Eukaryota; Viridiplantae; Streptophyta; Magnoliopsida; Malpighiales; Euphorbiaceae. The record is from RNAcentral.
CUUGUUUUCUUCAUCUCUUCUGAGUCUAACGCAACGCCAAAUUUGAUGUAAUGUGAUAGUGAUAAACCAAAAGUAGACCCAUUCUCCCAAUCUGGGUAGGAUCCUAGAUUCGGGUUAAUGGGUUGCGUUAGCUCCAAACGGACAUUGUCGGUGGCCGCUGCCUCCCCAGUUUUAGACUAUUCCUAUGCACCAACUUCGUUGCCUGUUAACGACCAUGGCUCGGUGAGGUCUUCAAGAUAUCCAUCUGGGUAUUUAAAUUUUGAUCAGAAACACAUAAAGGAUAAGAAAGAUGGAAGCAGACGCAAAAAGAGUAGUUAUGACAUUGAUAACAGUAAUGAGGAGGAGGCAAAGGAAGAUCAAGAUGGUAGUCAGCAAGGCAAAAAAAAUCAAGAGAAGGAGCUCUAGCGGAAAUAGUGGACCCAUUAAUCUCAAAAUGGGAUUCUCCCAGAGGCACGUUGGAGCUGAGCAGAUCGCUGCCGGGUGGCCCAACUGGCUUAGUUCUGCAGCUGCAGAAGCGAUUCAUGGUUGGGUCCCUCUACGAGCUGAUGCUUUUGAGAAAUUAGAGAAGAUUGGACAAGGCACAUAUAGCAGCGUGUUCCGAGCACGUGAGGUUGAGACUGGAAAGAUGUUUGCACUGAAGAAGGUGCGCUUUGACAAUUUUCACCAAGAGAGCAUUAGGUUUAUGGCGCGCGAAAUACUGAUUCUCCGAAGGCUUGACCAUCCAAAUGUCAUAAAGUUGGAGGGAAUAAUUACUUCCCGAUUGUCAAGUAGCAUAUACCUUGUAUUUGAAUACAUGGAACAUGAUCUUGCUGGACUAUCAUCUUCUCCAGACAUCAAGUUCAGUGAGUCACAGGUGAAGUGCUACAUGAAGCAACUAUUAGAAGGGAUCGAGCACUGCCAUUUGCGAGGUAUAAUGCAUCGGGAUAUUAAGGUGUCCAACAUUUUGGUCAACAAUGAAGGAAUUCUAAAAUUGGCAGAUUUCGGAUUGGCAAAUGUUCUUAACUUGAAGAACCAGAAUCAGCUAACCAGUCGUGUGGUGACUUUAUGGUACCGCCCUCCUGAACUCUUGAUGGGCUCAACCAGUUAUGGUGUGUCAGUGGAUCUCUGGAGUGUGGGCUGUGUAUUUGCAGAACUUCUCAUUGGAAAGCCUCUCCUCAAGGGGAGAACUGAGGUUGAACAAUUACACAAAAUCUUCAAGCUUUGUGGUUCUCCUUCUGACGAGUACUGGAAACAGUCUAAGCUUCCUAAUGCUGCCAUGUUUAAGCCCCAUCAUCAUUAUGAAAGUUCGCUUCGAGAGAGAUUUAAAGAUUUUCCAACAACUGCUGUGGACUUGAUAGAAACUUUUCUUUCCAUAGAACCGGAAAAGCGUGGGACUGCCUCUGCUGCCCUUUUGUCUCAGUACUUCAACACAAUGCCAUAUGCUUGUGACCCGUCAAGCUUGCCAAAGUAUACACCUAACAAAGAAAUGGAUGCUAAAUAUCGAGAAGAAGCACGGAGGAAAAUGGCUGGCUGUAGAACAAGGGAUCCAAGAGAACCAAGAAAACCAAGAAAAGCCAAUAGAAAAUUGCAAAAUCGCAACACUAACAAUAAACUUGGACCAAAAGAGGAAGUGAAAGAGAAUACUCCAUUUGUUCCAAAGAGCAAUGAAGGUAAUGCUCAAAUGAACAAGAGCAGAGGAGGUGUGAGCAGAGAACUAAGUUCUUCAUUUGACACAAACCCGGAGACUUCCGAAGGAACAAAAGGGGACUACGUUUUCUCAGGACCGGCACCAGUCAUAGCAUCAGGUGGCUUUGCAUGGGCAAAAAGGCAGAAGGACGAUGUGUGUAUAAGAUCCCACAAUGGGUCUAUUUCAAGAGGUCACAUUAACAAUGGAUUGGAACACUCUACUGCAUUGCAAGAAAAGAAGAGUUUUGAUUCAAGACAACAUGACAAUGGAGAUGUCACAUAUGGGAUCCGUUCCAAUUCUAGGGGCCAUGAUUCAUAUGAAAUUUCCAAGCAUGCUUUGCAGAAACAGUGGAGUCAACUUGAAAGGCCAGAUUCCUUUGACGCUUCUGAUGGGUACCAUUCACAAGAACUUUCAUUGGCACUUUAUCAAAGAGAGGAAAUGGAAGCAAAGAGAAAUAAUUUGGGUUUUCAAGAUCAAGGAGACAAGGUUGAAUUGUCUGGACCCUUGCUAACCCAAUCACAUAGAGUGGAUGAACUCCUAGAAAGACAUGAACGCCAUAUCCGCCAAGCUGUUCGAAAGUCAUGGUUUCAAAGAGGGUUAUCAUCUAGAGUCCAGUUCAGAGUUGAACAUCCAAAAGGAACUUCUUCAACUCAGCUUUACUAUAGUAAGCGCAGGAUCAAGCUUACAAGUAUGCCUUCCUAUACAGAAACUUGAAAAAAGACCUUUCUAGUCGUUUUCUGAUUUUGCAUUUGCUGCUGCUUUGGUGCUUUAAAGUGAAAAACUCGGUAGUGCUCUUUUGCUUGCUGGCUGUACUUCAACUAAAGCCAUUAGAUAAUACAAAAAUGAUUACAUUAUCAACCACAAACAAUCUGGGUCCAGCCCAAACUCCACCUGCUCACCUAAAUUGUAAGCUCGUUCUCGAUUUUGGGCUUUGAUGAAACCUUUGGAUCAGCAUGUAAUUACAAAGUUUUAGCCAAAAUUGGAUUUUUGGGCUGGGAACUGUAUUAUAAGGGUGAAGCUUGCAACUUGCAAGGCAAAAUGGGGAAAUUCUAAGAAUAAUAAUCCCAUAACAAAUGUUGUUUCAGUUGUUUGAGAUAGAUAAGGACCUCUACCUAAACCUUAUCUUAGGCUAAAUAUCUAGUAAUUUAACCAUGAGGAGUGUCACAUAAACAAACGAGUUUUUUCAUGAGUCUUGUGUCGUCUCAAGGAAGAAUUAUUGUCGUAAAUUGUUGUUGAAGAUAUGCAAUUAGGAUGAAGGUUCCCAUAAUGUACAAAGAAGUUGAGUCCAAGUUUCAAUAUCAAUCAACAUCUGGUACUGCCUAGCAAGUAGCAACCAUCCAUCACACCUUUAAAGAGAGGGACAGUCCAUGGGAUCCCCGAAUAGGGCCAACCAUUUGAGGGGGAGGGGGAGGGUAAGGGCGAUGGUGGCUUUUGUUAUUCACCAUUUGGAAGGACUCCAUCAUUGUUAUGAUAAAGUGGAAAGGGACCAUUUUGGUUCACCUCCUCUGAAAUAAAUGGAUGUGUUUUCG